GCCGACGAGCGGCGGGCACGCGCCGGGCUGCUGUCCCGGCAGGUCACGCUCCGCUGAGCUCGGGGCCCGGCUCCCUCGCCGACU
This 84-nucleotide transfer RNA is filed under the name Modestobacter marinus. Its description in RNAcentral is "tRNA-Ser". Lineage: Bacteria; Bacillati; Actinomycetota; Actinomycetes; Geodermatophilales; Geodermatophilaceae. The record is from RNAcentral.